RNAcentral lists this small RNA (619 nucleotides) under Malus domestica (apple). RNAcentral describes it as "sRNA MD01G0134800". The record is from RNAcentral. Lineage: Eukaryota; Viridiplantae; Streptophyta; Magnoliopsida; Rosales; Rosaceae.
UUUCCCGUUCACUGUCUUUCUCUCUCUUCCUUCACGAUUUCUCACUCUCUCUGUCUCUCUCCUUCGAACUCACACGGACCACCACCAAAACCACCCUAAAUCUAUACCAACGUCAAGUUUGAGACCACCAUUGGAAUCCUGAGGACUUCACGAUCACGUUGGUAUCCAUUUCAGGACAAUCCAAGCUCAUAGCAAGCUUGGUGAGGUCCCAAGGAAGCUCGGAGUGCUUCGUUGGAAGUUUUUGGACAUAAGAACACGGAGAUCGACAAGUUCAAAGUUUGGCCGGAGCUUUCGAGGCGUUUUCCGGCGAAUCCCCGGCGAGUUAGGAGUCAAGUUUCCGGCGACCUCCGAGGCUUUCGAGGCAGUUUCCGGCCAAACCACGGCGAACUAGGUGUUGUGCAAGUUUUGGAAAUUGACGGAGAUCCGACCGUUGGAUGGCGCCGAUCGUCAUGACGCCUUGGCGUAUUGUGCUAGGGAGUUGUAGGGCGAACUCCAGGUUCAGGAAUCACAAAGGUGUGGUGACUACGAGGAAUUCGACGGUGUUCUGACAGAUUGGACAAAAUUAGGACUCACCUUCGGGUGUAUCAAUUUAAAUUGUAUCUUAAAGCUUCCGUACUGU